Molecule: non-coding RNA, 75 nt
Organism: Caenorhabditis remanei
Lineage: Eukaryota; Metazoa; Nematoda; Chromadorea; Rhabditida; Rhabditidae
Source: Rfam
GAAGCAUCUGAGGUAGUUUGUAAUGCUGUCGACGCACUGUAAUGUCUACAUCAUUUCAACUGCCUCGGCUGUUUU